CCUACGGGGGGCUGCAGUGGGGAAUAUUGCACAAUGGGGGAAACCCUGAUGCAGCAACGCCGCGUGAGUGAAGAAGGAUUUCGGGAUGUAAAGCUCUAUCAGCAGGGAAGAAGAUGACGGUACCUGAAUAAGAAGCCCCGGCUAACGACGUGCCAGCAGCCGCGGUAAUACGUAGGGGGCAAGCGUUAUCCGGAUUUACUGGGUGUAAAGGGAGCGCAGACGGCAGUGGAAGUCUGGAGGGAAAGUCCGGGGCCCAACCCCGGAACUGCUCGGGAAACUGUGCGGCUAGAGUACUGGAGGGGCAGGCGGCCUUCCUAGUGUAGCGGUUACCUGCGUCGAUAUUAGGAGGCACCCCAGUGGCGAUGGCGGCCUGCUGGACCGUACCUGCCGUUGCGGCUCGAUAGCGUGGGGAGCACACCGGAUUAGCUACCCGGGUAGUC
RNAcentral lists this ribosomal RNA (440 nucleotides) under uncultured bacterium. RNAcentral describes it as "partial 16S ribosomal RNA". It matches the Rfam family "Bacterial small subunit ribosomal RNA", at positions 338 to 795 of the family's 1533-position model. The record is from RNAcentral.